Molecule: RNA transcript, 6308 nt
Organism: Cherax quadricarinatus
Lineage: Eukaryota; Metazoa; Arthropoda; Malacostraca; Decapoda; Parastacidae
Source: RefSeq, a predicted model, not a curated record
CCCUGACCAGACCACAACACCUUGCAGUUGACGAUGCUUCGGUCUUGCAAGCUCCGCAUGUUUUAUCAUUCAGACUCCGAUUUUGCGCCACGAGUACUGAGCAUCAUGUAGAGAACGGCCUUACAACUGAGCACUGAGUGGGCGAACGAAAUGUUACGUAGGGUAUUACGCUUAUGUUAGCAGGACAAGCACCAGAGCAGAGUACACUGGGCAUGCUAAUCUUCCAGGAUAUGGCACAAAAGGAGGAAAAUAUCCACGUGCAAGACCUCCGGUGUGUGGAUCGUGCAGCAGCUUAUAACAGAAGGUAAUGACAAGUGUGGAUACCAUAGCUACACGUAAGAGAGGACAAAGCUCUUGUGGCUAGGAGAGAGUGGACCUAGCAGCGAAGAGGCGGGGCCAGGAGCUGUGAAUCGACGCCUGCAGCCACAUAUGGUUACAGAUGACGAACGUUCAUCAGGAGGAGGAAGUGGUGGAGAGUAUGUCGUGUGUGGUGUGUGAAGAGCCCUUUGACCCUGAGGUGCACCAGCCCGUGGCCCUCCCUACCUGUGGCCACACUUUCUGCAGGAUGUGUCUCGUCAACCUCCAAGAACGCAACCCUACUCUCGUCUGUCCCACCUGCAGGCAACCACAUGCAGGAGAGGAUGCAUCAUGUCUGCCCACCAACUUUUUAGUGUUGAAUCUCCUGCCAGACAUUUCAGAGAGAGAUGAUGCUAUACUUCAGAGUAAACUUCCUGACAGUCAUGCUGACAAGAUGAAGGAGAAAAAGGAUGAUGUAUUUAAGAAGGAUGACAAGUGUCUUGCUUCAUUGGAUGACAACCAUUUAGAUUGUAAUGAGAAAGUGAAUGAGAGCAGAAGCAGACCAGAUGAAGCAUGCUCUAGUAGAGAAGAUAACCAGGAGAACAGCCUGAAGGAAGACUAUAACGAUAGACAGAAGAAGCAAGAGGGGAGACAAGAUAAUGUAUCUGAGGAUUGCCAUUCCCAAAUUUGUCACUCAUCAAGAAGUGGCAGGGAACCAAACCAGUAUAUCUGGUACAAGGACUGGAGAAUUUGGGUGCUAUUUGUUGUGUUUAUUAUAAUUAUGGCAUCUGUUGCAAUUGGAGUGGCUCUUGGAUGUGCUCCUAACAUCCUUAAUCAAAUGGGGUUCACAUCUACUGGAGUUGCUAGGAAAAGCUAUGCUUCCACAUUAAUGUCCUCCGCUGCCCGCAGUAACAAUGGAACCAUCCCUGCAGAUAGCUGGGUCUCAUGGCUACAGAAUGCUGGUCACAAGGGUUUUAGUUCCAAGGCUAAGGCUCUCAUAGCAUUGGUUAGUGGACUGGUUGGAGCUGGGGUUGCAGCUGUGUUGUUUGGAGCUAUGGUUAGCAUAUGUCUAUUAGUACAUCAUUGUAGAACCAGGAAAUACAAGGAUCAUUUGUUGGUUGAUGAUUUGCCACUAAUGAGUGUUGAACACUGAAGUAACUCUAGGAAAAACAAGAAAAGCAUCAGAAAUGUAGAAAAACUGCAUGUAUAACUGAACUUUGAUGUAAAAAUUUUGGGUAACUCCAAGAAGCCCCUAUCACGUGCUUUUACCAUCCUAUGGAGAGGGAGCAUGGACACGGGGGUCGUCCCACAGUUACUAAAAACAACAGGCAGCCCCACUCCACAAAGGGGGCAGUAAAGCAAUAGCAAAGAACUACAGACCGAUAGCACUAACAUCCCAUAUCAUAAAAAUCUUUGAAAGAGUUCUAAGAAGCAAGAUCGCCACCCAUCUAGAUACCCUUCAAUUACACAACCCAGGGCAACAUGGGUUUAGAGCAGGUCGCUCCUGUCUGUCCCAACUACUGGAUCACUACGACAUGGUCUUAGAUGCACUAGAAGACAAAAAGAAUGCAGAUGUAAUAUAUACAGACUUUGCAAAAGCCUUCGACAAGUGUGACCAUGUCGUAAUAGCGCACAAAAUGCGUGCUAAAGGAAUAACAGGAAAAGUUGGUAAAUGGAUCUAUAAUUUCCUCAUAAACAGAACACAAAGAGUAGUAGUCAACAGAGUAAAGUCUGAGGCGGCUAUGGUGAAAAGCUCUGUUCCACAAGGCACAGUACUCGCUCCCCUCUUGUUUCUCAUCCUCAUAUCUGACAUAGACAAGGAUGUCAGCCACAGCACCGUGUCUUCCUUUGCAGAUGACACCCGAAUCUGCAUGACAGUGUCCUCCAAUGCAGACACUGCAAGGUUCCAGGUGGACAUCAACCAAAUCUUUCAAUGGGCUGCAGAAACAAUAUGAAGUUCAACGAUGAGAAAUUUCAAUUACUCCGAUAUGGUAAACAUGAGGAAAUUAAAACUUCAUCAGAGUACAAAACAAAUUCCGGCCACAAAAUAGAGCGAAAAACCAAUGUCAAAGUCCUGGGAGUGAUCAUGUCGGAGGAUCUUACCUUCAAUGACCAUAACAUUGUAUCGAUCGCAUCUGCUAGAAAAAUGACAGGAUGGACAAUGAGAACCUUCAAAACUAGGGAUGCCAAGCCCAUGAUGACACUCUUCAGGUCGCUUGUUCUAUCUAGGCUGGAAUAUUGCUGCACACUAACAGCACCUUUCAAGGCAGGUGAAAUUGCUGACCUAGAAAAUGUACAGAGAACCUUCAUGGCACGCAAUAACGGAGAUAAAACACCUCAAUUACUGGGAGCGCUUGAAGUUUUUGAACCUGUACUCCCUGGGGGUGUUACCCCCCGGAACUCUCCCCAGGUAAUCUCCAGGUAAACUGUGUUAGAACAGAUUCCUGAUGAACAAUUCCCACUCAAAGAUUUCAUUCUGAUACACAAAAAAUUGCAACAAUGCACUAAAAACAUGACAGAAAAUGCUCAUCUGACUGCAGUGGAAUGACCAACCGCACUGAAACUCGCCACGCUACUUCAUAAAUAGUAUACUGCACAGCACAAUCUAUGCUUAUGCUGUAUUUCAACUAGGAGGAGCAUGAACAUUUGAGUCAGAAUCUUUCUGCGAGCACCUCGUAUCUUAACUGUUUGAGAGAAGAUGCUUGUCUUUAGAUGAUCAGUAUUACCAGCUCCAGAUUCCAACAUUCUUUCCUCAUCUUCAGUAUCUAGUGUCACAACUAUUAUACUGGUAUUUAACAAAUAAUUAAGAUCGUUUAUAAUUGUAUUGUAUUGCUGCUUUGUUUGGUGCACAAGUAGAAGACCAGUUACUGCUUUGUACUGUCCUUGUCCUGUAAUGGCAGAGAGUUUGUGCCAACCAUUUUUGAUAUUGUUUUAAUGUCACCUUUGCACCAUUUAUAACAUUUUUAGUAUAUUUUUAAAUGUUUAUACAGUAGUGUACUGUAUAUUGUAAUAAACAGACUAGAGGAAAUCAGCUCUAAUAUACAUUAUUUAGGUAUGCAUACUGAUCGGAGAGCCUGUCGUAAGUCCAAGUCGUCGGUAAACGAGUAUGUUGCUAAGUGAUGAGAGACUAUACGUACAUAAAUGGCUGAAAGCUACUAACAGGAGACCAUACAUAGUUUUAAGUUAGUGUAAAGAGAAACAUGCACGGAAGUUCCAUAUCAGUAGAAAAAUACGUUUAUUUUACAAGAAGAUACAGGUGCGCUGCAGAGAUUGCUUACAUUGGUUGUGUAAUACAUGGCAAUGCCCUUGGUUGUGCAAUGAAUUUUGGGCAAACUUAAAAUUAAAACCUGACAUUGAAUAUUUAAAGGAUUAUGUGAAUACCAAGUUCACCAUAAUUAAGUUUUAUGUUUAAUUCACAUUAAGCACUAAACCCAUGUGGGUCAUUCAGUGUAAGACAUGGUGGAGGUUUCAUCUUCCAUCUAAUGAGUAUGAGACAGACACACUUCCUAUUUGUAUUCACAUAUAAGUGAAUUAAGUUAUCGUAUACAAUGAUUAUUAUGUAAUAAAGUAACAAUGUUAAUAUGAAGGAACAGUAACACAAAACAGCAUUGAGAGCUGUAGCCAUAAAAUUUUUUGAGGGGCUAGGAAUUAAAGUAAGAGACAAAAAUGGUGAAUGAAUAGAGACCCCCUAUGUGAUUAUAUUUUUGAAAACUCACGAAUGUUCUGUAUGUUAUUUUGUUGCUCGAUUUGACAGUGACUGUAAUGUAUUAUCAGAUUUAAUGUUGAUGGUUACUUCUCACGUGAUUAUUUUUUUUGUUACCUGGUAUGUAUUUGUAGCUACAGGAGCUUGUGCUGUCUUCAGUACUUAAUCUAUCAUUAAGUUUUUGUAGCAGGGAUUAUUGCACUUUCUACCUUUUGUAUACCAUAUAGACUAAUGUUGUAUAUACAGUGGACCCCAGAGUUUCAUGAUUAAUCCGUUCCAGAGAGCCUGCCGAAAGUCGAAAUUCACGAAACUCGAAACCAUUUUCCCCAUAAGAAAUAAUGGAAAUAAAAUUAAUCCGUUCCAGACACCCAAAAAUAUUAAAAUAAAAUAUUUCUUUUCAAAUUAAAUAAAGAUUUAUAUACUGAAAUCAACGAGAAAUCAAGUACAGGUCUCCCUCAACAUUCACGUUUUCAGCUUUCGCGGGCUUCACACAUUCGCGAAUUCCCAACCGCCAAAUUCCCAACCGCCAAAUUCCCAGCCGCCAAAUCAUAUUCAAGUUUCCCGCCACCUGCGAGUCCCUACUACCCUCCCUCCUACCCCCGCAACUGGCAGCCAGCCCUCCCACCACUCAGUGUGGUGAGUGUUUUGUUUGUUCAUUAUUUGCUAUUAAACUGCAGUAUAAAUAAUGUAAACCCAUUCAUGACUGCAUAUUGGAAUGGUUAUUCGGACAGGUAUUAGACGGUGACAUGUGUUUACUCUUGAACACAGCAAAGAAUCAAACAUUUCUGCUACUGCUAAUAAUAACAAUAGUAAUAAUAAUAAUAAUAAUAAUAAAUACGAUAUAAUUGAAGAAGGAAGUUGUACAAAAAUACGAGGGAGUGGUUGACACAUCGUCAGUGUGGCUUUGUUUAUGCUGGAGUGAGCAUUAGUCUCCCUGCUCUUCCAAAUAUUUCACAAUAAUUCAUUGUGUUUGGUACUUGUAGAUUGAGUGCGACUGGAGUGGUAGAGGCAGCUGUUGAGGCAGCUGUUGAGGCAGCUGUUGAGGCAGCGAUUGAGGCAGCUGUUGAGGCAGCGAUUGUGGCAGUGGGUGAGGCAGCGAUUGUGGCAGUGGGUGAGGCAGCUGUUGAGGCAGUGGUUGAGGCAGCUAUUGAGGCAGCUGUUGAGGCAGCGAUUGAGGCAGUGGUUGAGGCAGCUAUUGAGGCAGUGGGUGAGGCAGCUGUUGAGGCAGCGAUUGAGGCAGUGGGUGAGGCAGCUAUUGAGGCAGUGGGUGAGGCAGCUGUUGAGGCAGCGAUUGAGGCAGUGGUUGAGGCAGCUAUUGAGGUAGUGGGUGAGGCAGCUGUUGAGGCAGCGAUUGAGGCAGUGGGUGAGGCAGCUAUUGAGGCAGUGGGUGAGGCAGCUGUUGAGGCAGCGAUUGAGGCAGUGGGUGAGGCAGCUGUUGAGGCAGUGCAUGAGGCAGUGCAUGAGGCAGUGCAUGAGGCAGCUGUUGAGGCAGCGAUUGAGGCAGCUGUUGAGGCAGAGAUUGAGGCAGCUGUUGAGGCAGCGAUUGAGGCAGUGGGUGAGGCAGUGCAUGAGGCAGCUGUUGAGGCAGCAAUUGAGGCAGCUGUUGAGGCAGCGAUUGAGGCAGUGGUCACUGAGGCAGCUGUUGAGGCAGCGAUUGAGGCAGUGGGUGAGGCAGCUGUUGAGGAAGCGAUUGAGGCAGCUGUUGAGGCAGCUGUUGAGGCAGCUGUUGAGGCAGCGAUUGAGGCAGUGGGUGAGGCAGCUGUUGAAAAACAAAUAAGCUCGCUCGCUGUAAUGGUGGCCGCGGCGGUGGCGGCGGCUGCAGUGGCGGGCGCGCCCGCGGCAGCUGCUGCGACGAGUCUAAGAGUAAAAAAAAAAAUCCGAAACAGAAAAUAAUAAUAGGCAAUAAUAAACUCCCGCCGGAAAUACUUUUAUCUUUAAUAUCAAGAAAAAACAUUGAGGAAGCGAUUGAGGCAGCUGUUGAGGCAGCUGUUGAGGCAACUGUUGAAGCAGCGACUGAGGCAGUGGGUGAGGCAGCUGGUGAGGAAGCGAUUGAGGCAGUGGUAUUUAAUAACAUACAUGUUUAAUAACAUACAUUGUGUUUAGUGCUUGUAGAUUGAGUGUGACUGGAGUGGUAGAGGCAGUGAUUGAGGCAAUGGUAUUUAACCCUUUGAGGGUUUUCGUCGUACUAGUACGUCUUACGCGUAGGGGUUUUUGACGUACUAGUACUCAUAAAUUCUAGCGGCCUCAAAUCUAGUGGGAGAAAGCUGGUAGGCCUUCAUAUGAAAGAAUGGGUCUAUGUGGUCAGUGU